This 492-nucleotide ribosomal RNA is filed under the name uncultured bacterium. Its description in RNAcentral is "partial 16S ribosomal RNA". It matches the Rfam family "Bacterial small subunit ribosomal RNA", at positions 28 to 507 of the family's 1533-position model. The record is from RNAcentral.
GAUGAACGCUAGCUACAGGCUUAACACAUGCAAGUCGAGGGGAAACGGCAUUGAGUGCUUGCACUCUUUGGACGUCGACCGGCGCACGGGUGAGUAACGCGUAUCCAACCUUCCCAUUACUGUGGGAUAACCUGCCGAAAGGCAGACUAAUACCGCAUAGUCUUCGAUGACGGCAUCAGAUUUGAAGUAAAGAUUUAUCGGUAAUGGAUGGGGAUGCGUCUGAUUAGCUUGUUGGCGGGGUAACGGCCCACCAAGGCUACGAUCAGUAGGGGUUCUGAGAGGAAGGUCCCCCACAUUGGAACUGAGACACGGUCCAAACUCCUACGGGAGGCAGCAGUGAGGAAUAUUGGUCAAUGGACGGAAGUCUGAACCAGCCAAGUAGCGUGCAGGAUGACGGCCCUAUGGGUUGUAAACUGCUUUUGUAUGGGGAUAAAGUUAGGGACGUGUCCCUAUUUGCAGGUACCAGACGAAUAAGGACCGGCUAAUUCCGUG